RNAcentral lists this ribosomal RNA (581 nucleotides) under uncultured Pantoea sp. Its description in RNAcentral is "bacterial SSU rRNA". It matches the Rfam family "Bacterial small subunit ribosomal RNA", at positions 102 to 679 of the family's 1533-position model. Lineage: Bacteria; Pseudomonadati; Pseudomonadota; Gammaproteobacteria; Enterobacterales; Erwiniaceae. The record is from RNAcentral.
ACGGGUGAGUAAUGUCUGGGGAUCUGCCCGAUAGAGGGGGAUAACCACUGGAAACGGUGGCUAAUACCGCAUAACGUCGCAAGACCAAAGAGGGGGACCUUCGGGCCUCUCACUAUCGGGUGAACCCAGAUGGGAUUAGCUAGUAGGCGGGGUAAUGGCCCACCUAGGCGACGAUCCCUAGCUGGUCUGAGAGGAUGACCAGCCACACUGGAACUGAGACACGGUCCAGACUCCUACGGGAGGCAGCAGUGGGGAAUAUUGCACAAUGGGCGCAAGCCUGAUGCAGCCAUGCCGCGUGUAUGAAGAAGGCCUUCGGGUUGUAAAGUACUUUCAGCGGGGAGGAAGGCGAUGCGGUUAAUAACCGCGUCGAUUGACGUUACCCGCAGAAGAAGCACCGGCUAACUCCGUGCCAGCAGCCGCGGUAAUACGGAGGGUGCAAGCGUUAAUCGGAAUUACUGGGCGUAAAGCGCACGCAGGCGGUCUGUUAAGUCAGAUGUGAAAUCCCCGGGCUUAACCUGGGAACUGCAUUUGUAACUGGCAGGCUUGAGUCUUGUAGAGGGGGGUAGAAUUCCAGGUGUAGC